RNAcentral lists this long non-coding RNA (1537 nucleotides) under Malus domestica (apple). RNAcentral's name for it is "long non-coding RNA (MDOM_LNC017393)". Lineage: Eukaryota; Viridiplantae; Streptophyta; Magnoliopsida; Rosales; Rosaceae. The record is from RNAcentral.
UGAAGGAUUCAGAAAGAAUUAGGUUGUAGAUAAUGCCACGUGGCAUGCUGUCAUUCGUUAAAAAUCUGGUGGAAAUCUAGCCUCAAAGAUUGUAAUCGGAUUAUGACACAUAGCACGAUGUGAUUGAUUAAAAUUUUUAUUGGAAAUCCAUCACCAAUAAUUGUUUUUUCAGAUAAUGACACGUGGCGCAACGACAAUGAUUAAUUUUUUUAUCGGAAAUCCAUCACCAACAAUUGUCUUUGCAGAUAAUGACACGUGGUGCAACUAAAAUGAUUAAAAAUCUUAUCUAAAAUUACAAAUAAAAUUAUUUUGAAUUAUUUUAUAAAUAAAAAUAUACAAAUAUUUUAUUGCUAUUGGCUUUUCGGAUAAUGACACGUGGCGCAAUGAGAACGAUUAAAAAUCUUAUCCGAAAUUACAAAUAAAAUUAUUAUGUAUUAUUUUAUAAAUAAAAAAAAUUAUUGCCAAUUGCAGGGCUAUUCAAUGCAGGGAUGGAGAUGCAAAAGACAAUUGCCACGACAAUUACUGUUAUUUAAGGGUAAUUACUGUUCACUGGAUGUAUUAAAUAAUGAAUAGCCUUGGUGGAGGGCUCGAGUUGCUCUAAUUAUAAGACGGUUUAUAUAUAAUCACGUUUGGCUUUUAAUAACUUGAAAAUGAUAUUAAACAAAUAUAUCGUGGAAAUGUGGAGCUGUUUAAAUCCAUGCACUAACUUAUGACCCAAAUUAGAGUAGCAAGUUGAGUGACUAAUUAAUUUAUCAGGUAUCGAUGGGAAAAGUUUAAUUUAUAAACAAGCUCAAUAUCCUUUUUAAAAGAAUGAUACUAUCCACACAUUUAUUUUUGUCUUUCAUAUACUAUCUGUUAAUUUCUGUCUUUUUAUCUUCAAUUCAUUUGAUCUGAUGGUCGGAAAUUGAGAUAAAUGUUUGAAAGGUAAAAAAAAGGUAUCAACGAAUUUAUUUUAGAGUAUAUGAUGAUCUGUCAUAACACGAGUGAAUUGUAACAAUACAUAGUGUUCUAGUCUUGUGAUAGUUACAUCGAAAACUUCUCGAAUGAAUUAGUUUCUUGGUUUUCUUACAUGUACGUAGACCUGGUGAUAGUUUCGUGUCUACUAUGUUCGUGUCAUUUUCGUGACAUACACGAUAUCUUAACGGAGUGUCAUGUCAAACCUGUUAAAAUGAACGUGUAAUAUCCGUUAAAAUUAACACGUAAUAUAACCUAACUCAUUACCCAUUAAAGAAAAUUGAUUUCACUUCAAUAAAUUAUCAAAUGAAAAACGUCAUACUACAUUAGUAUCUACAUACCACGUUGUCACUAAAUUAGUACCUACACUCCCAAAACUCUAAAAAUUCAAACGAUGAUGUAACCAAAGUCAAGGCGAAGAGGAUGCAAUCACGACUAUUGGCAUAUUUUUUUACAUUUUUCACACUUGUAAAUUAAUUAUUAUGAAUUGUUUCAAAUUUUCAACUCCACCUAAACACAUUGUUCACGAGGGUUGAGAGGGUUUUAAAAAUCCAAACGACGGUGUACCCAUCAUCAAAGCGUA